Manis pentadactyla (Chinese pangolin) is the source of this 937-nucleotide long non-coding RNA. RefSeq lists it as uncharacterized. The transcript has 4 exons. The record is from RefSeq and is a predicted model, not a curated record. NCBI's taxonomy places the organism in Eukaryota, Metazoa, Chordata, Mammalia, Pholidota, Manidae.
AGGGGAAUGGAUUGGGCAAUAGUAUCCAUUGGGGACUGUGUAAAAUAUACUUUUCUCUGGCCUCACAUAGCUUGUGGCUUAAGACAUAUUAGUAGUUUUACUGAAGGCACACUGGAAGGAAAAACAAUAACCAAAACAUGCGUGAAUGCUGCACUGAAAGUGAAAAACAGAGUGGUUGUAUGGGUGCAGAAGAUUUUACGUCUAUCAGUUGUUUACCCUUGUGAUCACAUGGCUGACUGGGAAUGCAGUUCACUGCCCCUGCCAGCAUCACCAGAGAAAUAAUACAGCAUGUCGCUGGCCAGGGAAAAGUACAGCCCAGGGAAGGAAUGACAUUUCAUUAUCCCAGCACACCUUGCCCCAGACCCUCUGGAUGUGAUGAUCCCUUCUUGGACUUACCAUCAUGAGUCCAAAGCCAAGACCAACUUUUCCACACCUCUUGGGAGCUACAAGUGACUAUGUGCCAACAAGAGGAUAUAACCAUUAUAAAUAUCUAUGCACCCAACACAGGAGCACCUACAUAUGUAAAACAAAUACUAACAGAAUUAAAGGAGGAAAUAGAAUGCAAUUCAUUCAUUCUAGGAGACUUCAACACACCACUCACUCCAAAGGACAGAUCAAUCAGACAGAAAAUAAGUAAGGACACAGAGGCAUUGAACAACACACUAUAACAGAUGGAACUAACAGAAAUCUACAGAGCUCUACACCCAAAAGCAGCAGGAUACACAUACUUCUCAAGUGCACAUGGACAUUUUCCAGAAUAGACCACAUACUAGGCCACAAAAAGAGCCUCAGUAAAUUCAAAAAGACUGAAAUUCUACCAACCAACUUCUCAGACCACAAAGGUAUAAAACUAGAAAUAAAUUGUACAAAGAAAACAAAAAGGCUCACAAAGAAAAGGAGGCUUAACAACAUGCUCCUAAAUAAUCAAUGGAUCAAU